CGGCGGACGGGUGAGUAACGCGUGGGUAACCUACCCUGUACACACGGAUAACAUACCGAAAGGUAUGCUAGUACGGGAUAAUAUAUUUGAGAGGCAUCUCUUGAAUAUCAAAGGUGAGCCAGUACAGGAUGGACCCGCGUCUGAUUAGCUAGUUGGUAAGGUAACGGCUUACCAAGGCGACGAUCGGUAGCCGACCUGAGAGGGUGAUCGGCCACAUUGGAACUGAGACACGGUCCAA
Molecule: ribosomal RNA, 238 nt
Filed under: uncultured bacterium
Lineage: Bacteria
Description: partial 16S ribosomal RNA
Rfam family: Bacterial small subunit ribosomal RNA
Source: RNAcentral